Molecule: non-coding RNA, 1169 nt
Organism: Linepithema humile (Argentine ant)
Lineage: Eukaryota; Metazoa; Arthropoda; Insecta; Hymenoptera; Formicidae
Source: RefSeq, a predicted model, not a curated record
CAUUCGGGACCGGCUUCUUUAUGCGGAGCCAAAUGUUAAGGAGCAUUCUGUUCGGAGCCGGCAUUAGGGUCAGUCGAGAAUUAGAGUCGUCGUAGAAUUAGAUCUAGUCUCGCGAGCGAUUAACCAGUAUUAAGUGUAUUUUGCAAAUUGCAAUAAAGACCAUCAUUUAUAUUGUUAAACCAGUGAUAUAUUCGAACUCCUGAUCUACAUUAUAGUACAGUCGGUGUUAAUCCAAUCGGAGCACGUGGAUUUAAUUAAAACGGUUAACGAAUAUUUUGAUACAGUGCACGCGGUGCUCUGACCGUUACAAUUAUAUUAGGAACUAGACGGAUAUUUGUCCAGUCGUCGAGUCGUUUAAUUGGAGAACAUUUAGUAGCCACCAUAUCGUUAACACGUGUAACCUUAAGCUGAAGAUAUUACACUUUAAAAAUAAAAAAGUAUAACGUUCAGUAAAGUAAACAUACCGGUUAUAAUAUCUAUAUUCUCACGUGGUAACGUUCAAUUAGGAAGACAAAAAUGUCUGUUUCGUAUAAUUUGCCAAACGAGAUAUUAGAAAAAAUUUUCAAUUUCUGUGAUGUUUAUACUUUAUCACAGAUUAGUAUGGUAUGCAUACAAUUUAAUAAUGUGGCAAAAUAUAUACUAAUAAAAAAAAGUGAACAUUUGCUUGUCACGAAUCAGAAAUCGGAAAAAUUUUGUGAACGAUGUAAACCACUAUUAUCUUCAGAUAUAAAUUCUAAAUUUAUUACAAGUUACAACUGGAUACAUAAAAAUGUAAAAGGAGACGAAUAUAUAAAAUGGAGGAAAUAAAUAUAGAGCAAGAACAUUCCUAUUUGUAUAGAUUUCAGUUCAAAAAUCGAAGCGUACAAAUGACUAGAAAUAUGGUUUGGUCAUUUUGUGAGGGUGAUCUUCUUGCUUUUAAACGCGCAAAGAACGGUACAAUUAAAAAGGGUAAAAAUAUUUUGAAAACUGACAAGGCUUUUAUUGAAACUUAUACUCAUUGCGGUAAUUAUAUUAUAAGUGGCGACAGAGAAGGUAUUAUUAACCGCUGGGAAAUUAAAGAUAAUCAAAAGGAUUUUUUACGUAAACCUUUAAAAAUACAUAAUGUGCAUUUUAAAAUUCAACGAAUAAACGCAACAUCGCAACACAUUAUAACUGGUUCUAAAAAUUUA